This 468-nucleotide ribosomal RNA is filed under the name Corynebacterium sp. 'ARUP UnID 253'. RNAcentral's name for it is "bacterial SSU rRNA". It matches the Rfam family "Bacterial small subunit ribosomal RNA", at positions 27 to 506 of the family's 1533-position model. RNAcentral also lists the same sequence under 1 other name. Lineage: Bacteria; Bacillati; Actinomycetota; Actinomycetes; Mycobacteriales; Corynebacteriaceae. The record is from RNAcentral.
GGACGAACGCUGGCGGCGUGCUUAACACAUGCAAGUCGAACGGAAAGGCCUCUGCUUGCAGAGGUACUCGAGUGGCGAACGGGUGAGUAACACGUGGGUGAUCUGCCUUGCACUUCGGGAUAAGCCUGGGAAACUGGGUCUAAUACCGGAUAGGACCAUGCUUUAGUGUGUGUGGUGGAAAGUUUUUCGGUGCAAGAUGAGCCCGCGGCCUAUCAGCUUGUUGGUGGGGUAAUGGCCUACCAAGGCGACGACGGGUAGCCGGCCUGAGAGGGUGUACGGCCACAUUGGGACUGAGACACGGCCCAGACUCCUACGGGAGGCAGCAGUGGGGAAUAUUGCACAAUGGGCGCAAGCCUGAUGCAGCGACGCCGCGUGGGGGAUGAAGGCCUUCGGGUUGUAAACUCCUUUCGCUAGGGAAGAAGCCUUUUUGGUGACGGUACCUGGAUAAGAAGCACCGGCUAACUACGU